AGAGUUUGAUCAUGGCUCAGGACGAACGCUGGCGGCGUGCUUAACACAUGCAAGUCGAGCGAGGCCUUUCCUUCGGGAGAGUGUCCUAGCGGCGAACGGGUGAGUAACACGUGGGCAACCUGCCCUCAGCUCUGGGAUAACUCCAAGAAAUUGGGGCUAAUACCGGAUAUGACCGCUGACCGCAUGGUCUGGUGGUGGAAAGAUUUAUCGGCUGGGGAUGGGCCCGCGGCCUAUCAGCUUGUUGGUGGGGUAGUGGCCUACCAAGGCGACGACGGGUAGCCGGCCUGAGAGGGUGACCGGCCACACUGGGACUGAGACACGGCCCAGACUCCUACGGGAGGCAGCAGUGGGGAAUAUUGCGCAAUGGGCGGAAGCCUGACGCAGCGACGCCGCGUGGGGGAUGACGGCCUUCGGGUUGUAAACCUCUUUCAGCAGGGACGAAGCGAAAGUGACGGUACCUGCAGAAGAAGCACCGGCCAACUACGUGCCAGCAGCCGCGGUA
This 502-nucleotide ribosomal RNA is filed under the name uncultured Actinomycetes bacterium. RNAcentral's name for it is "bacterial SSU rRNA". It matches the Rfam family "Bacterial small subunit ribosomal RNA", at positions 8 to 522 of the family's 1533-position model. Lineage: Bacteria; Bacillati; Actinomycetota; Actinomycetes. The record is from RNAcentral.